CGACCCUGUGUAAUGCACAGAUGACAGAUCUAUUUCAAUAACAUGUGUGAAAGAAACACAUCAAAACUUCUUCAUCCCAAACUCCCAUUGACCAAACAUUAACCGCAAGUUAUUGGAAAAAAUGUUCCUGCCGUUCCGUCCAGACUCCAGACGUCUGAAUGCUAAGGAAUAUGUCGGAUAUCACUAGGUGGCUAAAAUUAUGUCUGCUAGAUGGCGCGAGUGUCUUCGUUACUCAAAACGAAAUUCCGCCAUUUUAUAACACUGAUUGACUGAUUGACACUGAUUGAAAACGUAUCGUUGGAUUGGAUACUUAAUACGCCGUACUUUUCUUUCUUGAAAUUUUUAUUCGUAAAAAUGGUAUUUAUCUGGUAGUAACAGCCUAUAAUUUCUACAUGGCAAAAUCGGGUGGCCUGAGCAGCUGAACAUUUUGCCAAAAUGUCGUCUCUUUUUUUCUGUACCAGCUCCACGUUUGUCAGAAACACUUCAGAACAAUUCGGGAUUAACACCCUGGUGGAGUUUGAGCUUCUUUGUUGCUGCCCAACUUUCACAUGGAUUUGACGCAGCCAGCUGAGGGCUUUAAUUCUUGUUUAGCGUUUAUGUUCGCGCAGUUGCUUUCCGAUGUGGCACGUUGCUGCAGCCUAUACUGGUGAAAGAUCUUUCUACAUCAAGUUCAAUUGGCCGUUCCUUGGUGCUGGUGUCGUGUUACCGAAGUUGCAUCAUUAUUUUGUUAAAUUGUCAUCGUU
RNAcentral lists this long non-coding RNA (743 nucleotides) under Daphnia pulex (common water flea). Its description in RNAcentral is "uncharacterized LOC124204652, transcript variant X1". Lineage: Eukaryota; Metazoa; Arthropoda; Branchiopoda; Diplostraca; Daphniidae. The record is from RNAcentral.